GCCCAGGUGGUGGAAUUGGUAGACACGCAGGUUUCAGGUACCUGUGCUGCAAGGCGUGAAGGUUCGAGUCCUUUCCUGGGCACCA
Molecule: transfer RNA, 85 nt
Filed under: Afipia carboxydohydrogena
Lineage: Bacteria; Pseudomonadati; Pseudomonadota; Alphaproteobacteria; Hyphomicrobiales; Nitrobacteraceae
Also listed under: 21 other names
Description: [Pseudomonas] carboxydohydrogena tRNA-Leu
Rfam family: tRNA
About the family: Transfer RNA (tRNA) molecules are approximately 80 nucleotides in length.
Source: RNAcentral